GACGAACGCUGGCGGCGUGCUUAACACAUGCAAUUCGAACGGAAAGGCCCUGCUUUUGUGGGGUGCUCGAGUGGCGAACGGGUGAGUAACACGUGAGUAACCUGCCCUUUACUUUGGGAUAACUUCAGGAAACUGGGGCUAAUACCGGAUAGGAGCUCCUGCUGCAUGGUGGGGGUUGGAAAGUUUCGGCGGUUGGGGAUGGACUCGCGGCUUAUCAGCUUGUUGGUGGGGUAGUGGCUUACCAAGGCUUUGACGGGUAGCCGGCCUGAGAGGGUGACCGGCCACAUUGGGACUGAGAUACGGCCCAGACUCCUACGGGAGGCAGCAGUGGGGAAUAUUGCACAAUGGGAGGAAGCCUGAUGCAGCAACGCCGCGUGCGGGAUGACGGCCUUCGGGUUGUAAACCGCUUUCGCCUGUGACGAAGCGUGAGUGACGGUAAUGGGUAAAGAAGCACCGGCUAACUACGUG
Molecule: ribosomal RNA, 468 nt
Filed under: uncultured bacterium
Lineage: Bacteria
Description: partial 16S ribosomal RNA
Rfam family: Bacterial small subunit ribosomal RNA
Source: RNAcentral